This 327-nucleotide ribosomal RNA is filed under the name uncultured eukaryote. Its description in RNAcentral is "partial 18S ribosomal RNA". It matches the Rfam family "Eukaryotic small subunit ribosomal RNA", at positions 1470 to 1796 of the family's 1831-position model. The record is from RNAcentral.
CCCUUAGAUGUUCUGGGCCGCACGCGCGCUACACUGACGAAUGCAACGAGCUUAUAACCUUGGUCGAAAGGUCUGGGUAAUCUCCAAAUUUCGUCGUGAUGGGGAUAGAUUAUUGCAAUUAUUAAUCUUCAACGAGGAAUGCCUAGUAAGCGCAAGUCAUCAGCUUGCGUUGAUUACGUCCCUGCCCUUUGUACACACCGCCCGUCGCUCCUACCGAUUGAAUGGUCCGGUGAAGCGUUCGGACCGUGGCCUUUGGACGGUUCGCCGUCUGUUGGCUGCGGGAAGUUCGUUAAACCUUAUCAUUUAGAGGAAGGAGAANUCGUAACA